UGGGGAAUAUUGGACAAUGGGGGCAACCCUGAUCCAGCCAUGCCGCGUGAGUGAAGAAGGCCUUAGGGUUGUAAAGCUCUUUCGCCGGUGAAGAUAAUGACGGUAACCGGAGAAGAAGCCCCGGCUAACUUCGUGCCAGCAGCCGCGGUAAUACGAAGGGGGCUAGCGUUGUUCGGAAUUACUGGGCGUAAAGCGCACGUAGGCGGAUUGUUAAGUCGGGGGUGAAAUCCCAGGGCUCAACCCUGGAACUGCCUCCGAUACUGGCAUUCUUGAGUCCGAGAGAGGUGAGUGGAAUUCCGAGUGUAGAGGUGAAAUUCGUAGAUAUUCGGAAGAACACCAGUGGCGAAGGCGGCUCACUGGCUCGGUACUGACGCUGAGGUGCGAAAGCGUGGGGAGCAAACAGG
Molecule: ribosomal RNA, 404 nt
Filed under: uncultured Hyphomicrobiales bacterium
Lineage: Bacteria; Pseudomonadati; Pseudomonadota; Alphaproteobacteria; Hyphomicrobiales
Description: bacterial SSU rRNA
Rfam family: Bacterial small subunit ribosomal RNA
Source: RNAcentral